AUAUUGUACACUGGGGGCAACCCUGAUCCAGCCAUGCCGCGUGUGUGAAGAAGGUCUUCGGAUUGUAAAGCACUUUAAGUUGGGAGGAAGGGCAAUAAGUUAAUACCUUGCUGUUUUGACGUUACCGACAGAAUAAGCACCGGCUAACUGCGUGCCAGCAGCCGCGGUAAUACGAAGGGUGCAAGCGUUAAUCGGAAUUACUGGUCGUAAAGCGCGCGUAGGUGGUUUGUUAAGUUGGAAGUGAAAGCCCCGGGCUCAACAUGGGAACUGCUUUCAAAACUGGCAAGCUAGAGUACGGUAGAGGGUAGUGGAAUUUCCUGUGUAGCGGUGAAAUGCGUAGAUAUAGGAAGAAACACCAGUGGAGAAGGCGACUACCUGGACUGAUACUGACACUGAGGUGCGAAAGCGUGGGGAGCAAAC
RNAcentral lists this ribosomal RNA (420 nucleotides) under uncultured bacterium. RNAcentral's name for it is "partial 16S ribosomal RNA". It matches the Rfam family "Bacterial small subunit ribosomal RNA", at positions 361 to 773 of the family's 1533-position model. The record is from RNAcentral.